This 513-nucleotide long non-coding RNA is filed under the name Physcomitrium patens. RNAcentral describes it as "long non-coding RNA (PPAT_LNC000092)". The record is from RNAcentral. Lineage: Eukaryota; Viridiplantae; Streptophyta; Bryopsida; Funariales; Funariaceae.
GGCAGAAAAUAUGGGCAAGAGAAGGGGGACCAACUUGAAGUACUUAAGUAGAGGGGAGGAGACCACUACCACCACCAUCUACCUCUCCCUUUCAAAAGUCUUGAGGGACGUAUGGGUAUUGUGAGGUGGAGGAGGUAGGUCUCACUAAUUAGAGCUAAGAUUAGGAUUACCAUGAAAAUGUGAGGUGGAGGAGGUGGAUCUUACUAAUUAGGAUUAGGAUUAGGAUUACCAUGAAAGUAUGAGGUGAAAGAGGUAGAUCUCACUAAUUAGGGUUAAGAUUCGAGUUACCAUGAAAGUAUGAGGUGGAAGAGGUGGGACUCACUAAUUAGGAUUAGGAUUAGGGUUAUCGUGAAAGUGUGAGGCAGAUGAGGGUGUUGUGUAUGUGCAUCUCAAUCUUGAUACUACUUGUGGCUAUUUUUGAUGGUGAAAGCACCUUCUCCUCUUUGAAGCCAACAACCUUCCAAAUAUGUCAAUUUUUGAUUCAUUGAUCCCCCUUUAAGGCAUUGACGUGAG